This 359-nucleotide unclassified non-coding RNA is filed under the name Hevea brasiliensis (rubber tree). The record is from RNAcentral. Lineage: Eukaryota; Viridiplantae; Streptophyta; Magnoliopsida; Malpighiales; Euphorbiaceae.
UUGCUAUUCUAGCGGCUUCUUUCAUCUCAGCUUCACUAGCAUUGUGCCUUGCAUAGAUUAUGUUUUCCCUAAUGGUGGUUGAAAAGAUAAUUGGUUCCUGCUGAACAAGUCCUAAAUGGUUCCUCAACCAUCGUAAAUUGUAUGACUUUAAAUCACGGCCAUCAAGUAAAACCUGACCAGCAACAGGGUCAUAAAACCUCUCUAUCAAAGAUAUAAUUGUGCUCUUUCCGGAGCCGGAAACACCCACCACAGCUACAGUCUGCCCUCCGUUGACUUUUAGAGUGAAAUUACUCAGUACCAGGACUUCUGGUCGAGAUGGAUAUGAGAAAUCAAUGUUUUUCAACUCAAUACUUCCAUAG